Molecule: long non-coding RNA, 987 nt
Organism: Leptopilina boulardi
Lineage: Eukaryota; Metazoa; Arthropoda; Insecta; Hymenoptera; Figitidae
Exons: 6
Source: RefSeq, a predicted model, not a curated record
CGUUUGAGCGGGAUGCAAGCUCUGCUUGUGCGAAUUUUUUCUUGUGUUUUAAGAUUAAUAGAGUCGUUUUUUUUAUAUAAAAAUGUAUGCUUAAAUUGAUAAUUAAUAUUCAGUGUACAUAUUCAUUGCAAUAAUUCACUUUGGGAACGAUUCAAGAUUGUAAUAUUGACCAUAUUAUCAUGCCAUGAUAUUUGAGGUAUAUGUCAAAGUGCAAUAGAGCUUUGUGGAAAAUUGGGAAAAAGAUGAAAAACAGAGAAAAGCACUAAGAUUCUCGAGCAUCUUCUGUAAAUAAAAGUGGUGAUUUAUUAGAAGCAUGAAUGGAAGUCAUAAUUAGGUUUUUAAUCAAUAAAUCUGGUUGACUUUUGGAGAUGGAUGAUAUAUAUCAGUAUCGGCAAUUCCAUUGGAAGGACUAGAAAAUUAAUGAUGCGAAAAAAAAUGAUCAGACAAAAGUGGCAGUAGUGUACUCGCUCUAAAACAUUGGAAUCUGUGAUUGAUUCUAUCCUCGAUGGCUUGAAGGACACAAAAUUCUCCAGUUGCAGGCUUUUUAGAACUCGGUCUAUUUUUACGGUUAUUUUUCACAUUUUCCGAAUGGAAAUUUAACUUGAAAGUAGGGAUCUCCGAGGGCUAUUUAGUUUGAAAGAAUCUCCUUGAAGCUGAAAAUUCGUUAUUAAGUUUAUUUACAAAUAAAGGACAGGACGGAUUUUUGCAGAAGUAAAGGAAACAGAGAUCUUUGAUAGUGGUCCAUAGAAGGUUUAGGAGAAGGAAAUUUACUCAACGUGGGAUUUGCCGAUCGCUUCAAUUCGAGGGGGAAGGUGUUUGUUGCGGAGCUGCUCCUGGAGGAGAACUUGUAUUGCUGAGCGCAGUUCAAUGUAUGUUAAUUUUUUUUAACUGUUCUCUAAAUGUGCAUUAGUAAAAAUUUUCACUAAUUUGAAUUAGCGACUCACUUUUUGCUUUUUAGUUAAAUUUUCCUAAUUCGAUGGUAAAUAA